AGUUCUCAACUCUGAGAGCAUUUGUUUGCUCUCUGAGAUUGGAAUUGGAGGUUUGCUGGCGGUGGUCAGCUCCUCUCAAAUGCAUUAGCUGGGCUGUGCUCGAGAGAAAACAGUCGGUGUGAUAAUUAUCUGCGCCGUCGCUGAGUAUCUCGGAUCCCGCUUCUAAUCGUCCUCUGGACAAAACACUCUGAC
This 192-nucleotide unclassified non-coding RNA is filed under the name uncultured Vuilleminia. RNAcentral's name for it is "sequence contains ITS2". Lineage: Eukaryota; Fungi; Basidiomycota; Agaricomycetes; Corticiales; Vuilleminiaceae. The record is from RNAcentral.